UACGUAGGUGGCAAGCGUUGUCCGGAAUUAUUGGGCGUAAAGCGCGCGUAGGCGGUUACUCAAGUCGGAUGUGAAAGCCCUCGGCUUAACUGAGGAAGUGCACCCGAAACUGAGUAGCUAGAGUACUAAAGAGGGUCGCGGAAUUCCCGGUGUAGAGGUGAAAUUCGUAGAUAUCGGGAGGAACACCGGUGGCGAAGGCGGCGACCUGGGUAGAUACUGACGCUGAGGCGCGAAAGCGUGGGGAGCAAACAGG
Molecule: ribosomal RNA, 253 nt
Filed under: uncultured bacterium
Lineage: Bacteria
Description: partial 16S ribosomal RNA
Rfam family: Bacterial small subunit ribosomal RNA
Source: RNAcentral